CCUGGCACUAUGUUAUUGGAUCACAUGGCUGUUUCUAUUACAACCAGCAAGUGUUACUCGUAUCCACGUGUUCGUGAGAUACGGAUUAGGGUGUAACAAAAAGACAAAGAGAGACAGGGAGAGAAUGAGGGUUUUGGAGAUAAAAGGGCCUGCCACUCUUCCGGCUGCCUACCUCGCCGGCGUCAUAAUCAACGGUGGUUGUUGUACUCUGUGCUCUGCCGUCGCACACGCAUCUCUACCCCACACGAUCCAUGAUGAAGCAAACAUCAGCGCCAAGAUCAGCCAUGGGGGUCUCUUACACAGAAACCCUAAAUCCAUUAUUCACGAAAACCAAUGAUAAAGCUUUCAUCUUCUGCCAUUGUCACAACUAUUAUCGCCGCAUCCACGGCUGCUCUCUCCUCCUCCCAUCUUGAUUCCUCCAUCUAGGAUAUGAGAGGGUGAAAGUGUGGGGAAAGUUGUUUAGAGGAGAUAUUUGCGCCUCUGUUGUGCCAUACGAAGAAGGUAAAAGUCUUUUGUGUUUGUAUGUAAAUAUAUCGUUGAAAAUCCACAAUUUUUUAGGUUUCUAGAAAAGGGUUGUGUAUUCUUGAUUUAGCUUGUCAAUCUAUAAGCAAUCUAAAAGCUAUUGCUUUAUAUAGAUUUUAAAUUUGAACACAAUGGGUUAAUUUUGGAGACAUGUGUUGAAGGACAUUGGCAGUUAUGUGUGCUUUUGCGGAUUUUCAUGUUAUUACCUUUUAAACAUGAAAAUAUCUUAGGAUUUAGUCAAGGCUAUGGUGAUGCAUUGCAGCUCUUUUGUAUGAGCUUGAGCAAGGAUAAGAUUUCAGUGUGUCUUCGUUACAAAGCUGAGAAGGUCAUGUAAUUGACUAUGCCAUCACACGGCAACUGGUUUUUGUACAACCAUGACAGGUUUGCUUUACUUCUUUGAUUGAUUAUUUAUCUGAGCAUAAUCAUUGUCUUUGGCCAGCUCAUAAUUUCCUAAUCACUUAUUUUCACUAUUUCAGUUACAAGGGGCUAUGACGGUUAAUGGUUCUUACAUAGCUAUGUUGUCUUUAUCCUUUUGAUCUUACCAAUUAUGACUUAUUGUUUUCACCAUUAUCAUUUUCCUUUUCAUGACUGAGAAAAUUCUAUUGACUCAUGUUUCCUUUUCUUUCUA
This is a long non-coding RNA of Helianthus annuus (common sunflower), 1150 nucleotides long. RefSeq lists it as uncharacterized. The record is from RefSeq and is a predicted model, not a curated record. Lineage: Eukaryota; Viridiplantae; Streptophyta; Magnoliopsida; Asterales; Asteraceae. The transcript is spliced from 2 exons.